RNAcentral lists this ribosomal RNA (217 nucleotides) under uncultured bacterium. Its description in RNAcentral is "partial 16S ribosomal RNA". It matches the Rfam family "Bacterial small subunit ribosomal RNA", at positions 114 to 334 of the family's 1533-position model. The record is from RNAcentral.
CACGUGGGUGAUCUGCCUUGUACUCUGGGAUAAGCUUGGGAAACUGGGUCUAAUACCGGAUAGGAACUGCCUUUAGUGUGGUGGUUGGAAAGUUUUUUCGGUGCAAGAUGAGCUCGCGGCCUAUCAGCUUGUUGGUGGGGUAAUGGCCUACCAAGGCGUCGACGGGUAGCCGGCCUGAGAGGGUGUACGGCCACAUUGGGACUGAGAUACGGCCCAG